This 399-nucleotide ribosomal RNA is filed under the name uncultured Pseudomonas sp. RNAcentral's name for it is "bacterial SSU rRNA". It matches the Rfam family "Bacterial small subunit ribosomal RNA", at positions 984 to 1382 of the family's 1533-position model. Lineage: Bacteria; Pseudomonadati; Pseudomonadota; Gammaproteobacteria; Pseudomonadales; Pseudomonadaceae. The record is from RNAcentral.
ACAUGCAGAGAACUUUCCAGAGAUGGAUUGGUGCCUUCGGGAACUCUGACACAGGUGCUGCAUGGCUGUCGUCAGCUCGCGUCGUGAGAUGUUGGGUUAAGUCCCGUAACGAGCGCAACCCUUGUCCUUAGUUACCAGCACGUUAUGGUGGGCACUCUAAGGAGACUGCCGGUGACAAACCGGAGGAAGGUGGGGAUGACGUCAAGUCAUCAUGGCCCUUACGGCCUGGGCUACACACGUGCUACAAUGGUCGAUACAAAGGGCAGCGACACUGCGAGGUGAAGCCAAUCCCGUAAAAUCGGUCUCAGUCCGGAUUGGAGUCUGCAACUCGACUCCAUGAAGUUGGAAUCGCUAGUAAUCGUGGAUCAGCAUGCCACGGUGAAUACGUUCCCGGGCCUU